Molecule: ribosomal RNA, 1649 nt
Filed under: Salmonella enterica subsp. enterica serovar Typhimurium
Lineage: Bacteria; Pseudomonadati; Pseudomonadota; Gammaproteobacteria; Enterobacterales; Enterobacteriaceae
Description: partial 23S ribosomal RNA
Rfam family: Bacterial large subunit ribosomal RNA
Source: RNAcentral
GCUGAUGCGUUGUUGGGUAGGGGAGCGUUCUGUAAGCCUGCGAAGGUGACCUGUGAGGGUUGCUGGAGGUAUCAGAAGUGCGAAUGCUGACAUAAGUAACGAUAAAGCGGGUGAAAAGCCCGCUCGCCGGAAGACCAAGGGUUCCUGUCCAACGUUAAUCGGGGCAGGGUGAGUCGACCCCUAAGGCGAGGCCGAAAGGCGUAGUCGAUGGGAAACGGGUUAAUAUUCCCGUACUUGGUGUUACUGCGAAGGGGGGACGGAGAAGGCUAUGUUGGCCGGGCGACGGUUGUCCCGGUUUAAGCGUGUAGGUGUGUGUUCCAGGUAAAUCCGGUUCACUUUAACACUGAGGCGUGAUGACGAGGCACUACGGUGCUGAAGCAACAAAUGCCCUGCUUCCAGGAAAAGCCUCUAAGCAUCAGGUAACAUCAAAUCGUACCCCAAACCGACACAGGUGGUCAGGUAGAGAAUACCAAGGCGCUUGAGAGAACUCGGGUGAAGGAACUAGGCAAAAUGGUGCCGUAACUUCGGGAGAAGGCACGCUGACACGUAGGUGAAGUGAUUUACUCACGGAGCUGAAGUCAGUCGAAGAUACCAGCUGGCUGCAACUGUUUAUUAAAAACACAGCACUGUGCAAACACGAAAGUGGACGUAUACGGUGUGACGCCUGCCCGGUGCCGGAAGGUUAAUUGAUGGGGUCAGCGCAAGCGAAGCUCCUGAUCGAAGCCCCGGUAAACGGCGGCCGUAACUAUAACGGUCCUAAGGUAGCGAAAUUCCUUGUCGGGUAAGUUCCGACCUGCACGAAUGGCGUAAUGAUGGCCAGGCUGUCUCCACCCGAGACUCAGUGAAAUUGAACUCGCUGUGAAGAUGCAGUGUACCCGCGGCAAGACGGAAAGACCCCGUGAACCUUUACUAUAGCUUGACACUGAACAUUGAGCCUUGAUGUGUAGGAUAGGUGGGAGGCUUUGAAGUGUGGACGCCAGUCUGCAUGGAGCCGACCUUGAAAUACCACCCUUUAAUGUUUGAUGUUCUAACGUGGACCCGUAAUCCGGGUUGCGGACAGUGUCUGGUGGGUAGUUUGACUGGGGCGGUCUCCUCCUAAAGAGUAACGGAGGAGCACGAAGGUUGGCUAAUCCUGGUCGGACAUCAGGAGGUUAGUGCAAUGGCAUAAGCCAGCUUGACUGCGAGCGUGACGGCGCGAGCAGGUGCGAAAGCAGGUCAUAGUGAUCCGGUGGUUCUGAAUGGAAGGGCCAUCGCUCAACGGAUAAAAGGUACUCCGGGGAUAACAGGCUGAUACCGCCCAAGAGUUCAUAUCGACGGCGGUGUUUGGCACCUCGAUGUCGGCUCAUCACAUCCUGGGGCUGAAGUAGGUCCCAAGGGUAUGGCUGUUCGCCAUUUAAAGUGGUACGCGAGCUGGGUUUAGAACGUCGUGAGACAGUUCGGUCCCUAUCUGCCGUGGGCGCUGGAGAACUGAGGGGGGCUGCUCCUAGUACGAGAGGACCGGAGUGGACGCAUCACUGGUGUUCGGGUUGUCAUGCCAAUGGCACUGCCCGGUAGCUAAAUGCGGAAGAGAUAAGUGCUGAAAGCAUCUAAGCACGAAACUUGCCCCGAGAUGAGUUCUCCCUGAGACUUAGAGUCUCCUGAAGGAACGU